AUUUUGGAGAUGUAUAGCAAUAGCUGAUUGCACCAACAAACAGUUGAUGCAAAAUUGAUUAUAUCAAAUAAAAUUCUAGGUAGAUUUUUGAUAAUGACAUUGCUUACCUAAGUCUUGACCAAAUUACGUGCCAGCAGUCGCGGUAAUACGUAAAAGACUAGUGUUAUUCAUCUUUAAUUGGUUUAAAGGGUACCUAGACAGCGAAUAAAGCCAUAGUAGGGACUAAUUCGCUAGAGUUACUUAUGAGGGGGUAUUAAAGUACUGCAGGUGUAGAGAUGAAAUUUUGUUAUACCUCUUCUCGUUUGAGAAACUAUGGCACAGGUAUAGGUGAAAGCAUCCCCUUAUGUGAUAACUGACGUUGAGGGACGAAGGCUUUGUGUCGCGAACAGGAUUAGAUACCCCAAUAGUCAAAGCAGAAAAUGAUGAAUGUCAUAGAUUAGAUAUGCAAUUUAUUCUAUAGAUGAAAGUGUAAGCAUUCCACCUCAAGAGUAAUUUGGCGGGGUUGGGAACUGAAAUCAUUAGACCGUUUCUGAAACCAGUAGUGAAGUAUGUUGUUUAAUUUGAUGAUACGCAAAAAACCUUACCACAAUUUGAAUAUUUAUAUAUAUCUUUCAUUGAUUUAUACUAACAUAUUUGUAGACAAUUAAAAUGAUGCCUAUGUCCCGGUUUGGUGAGACUAAGCAUCAAAAAAAGAUAAUAUAUUUUACAAGCGUUGCACGGCUGUCUUCAGUUUAAUGUCGGCGAGAUUUGGGUUAGUUCCAUUAAAUUAACAGUAAACGCUUACUUUUAUUUAUAUAUAAAGGAAGUUCUGCCGCUAUAUUGGGAUAUGAUAACCUGGGAACUAAGGAC
Molecule: ribosomal RNA, 849 nt
Filed under: Cladonia chlorophaea
Lineage: Eukaryota; Fungi; Ascomycota; Lecanoromycetes; Lecanorales; Cladoniaceae
Description: SSU rRNA
Rfam family: Bacterial small subunit ribosomal RNA
Source: RNAcentral